GAUGCGGGAGAAGAUGGUACUGGUGCAAAGAAUGAUACAAGGAGCAAUGCCCAAGCAGCUGAAAAAAGCUAGAGACAGAAAUUAUUUGCACAAUACAGAAAUUAUGCUCACUAAGGUUGAGAUGCCACUUCCUGAUAUGAUGUAUCCAAAAUGUUUGCCAAGAAGAAUGCUAUUGGAAAAGAACAGGUGGCAAAAUUAGUGGACGACACAUAUAGAAAAAUGCAGAUAUCUAGUGCCACUGACCUUGCAUCAAAGGGACAGGGAGCCUCAGAUAGCAGUAAUGUGAAAAUUAAAGUGUGACGAUCCACGAUGCCAUGUGUGGCAGCACAUAAAUUGUGUUAUUGUUCCAGAAAAACCUAUGGAAGGUGUCCUGCCAGUACCUGAUAAAUUUUAUUGUGAACUCUGCAGACUCAGCCGUGCAGACCCGUUUUGGGUUUCAAUGGGACACCCCUUGUUUCCUGUGAAGUUGAGCAUAACAAGUCACAACUCGUGUUGGCCAUUGUCUCUGAGGGAAGCAAGUCACACCACACGUUUUUUUUUCAAUGAAAAAGAACUAACACUAGUAAUUUAUUUAUUUUACUUUCUCAUGAUCUAUCAUAUGU
Arachis duranensis is the source of this 602-nucleotide long non-coding RNA. RefSeq lists it as uncharacterized. The record is from RefSeq and is a predicted model, not a curated record. The transcript has 5 exons. NCBI's taxonomy places the organism in Eukaryota, Viridiplantae, Streptophyta, Magnoliopsida, Fabales, Fabaceae.